GGAGAGCGGGGCGAAGGCCAACUUCCCCCACAAUGGCGUCGACUUUCCGGCGGCGCGACCCACCGGCCGGUUCAGCAACGGGUACAACGGCAUCGAUUUUCUCGCCAUUCAUAUGGGCUUUAGGAGGAGCCCUCCACCUUUUCUUUCUGUUGCAAGUAAUGGUAACCACCAGGUAAUGAAAGGUAAAAAAGGUGUUAGCUUUGCGUCUGGAGGCUCAGGAAUUCUA
This 226-nucleotide unclassified non-coding RNA is filed under the name Hevea brasiliensis (rubber tree). Lineage: Eukaryota; Viridiplantae; Streptophyta; Magnoliopsida; Malpighiales; Euphorbiaceae. The record is from RNAcentral.